This is a long non-coding RNA of Eucalyptus grandis, 372 nucleotides long. RefSeq lists it as uncharacterized. NCBI's taxonomy places the organism in Eukaryota, Viridiplantae, Streptophyta, Magnoliopsida, Myrtales, Myrtaceae. The transcript is spliced from 2 exons. The record is from RefSeq and is a predicted model, not a curated record.
UAUUAUCAUCUAAUAGUAUAUUAACAUUGAGUUGUCUUUAGGCUAAAGUUUGUCGUCCAUCAUCUUUUAUCAUAAACUUGUCAAACAGUUCUUGGAUUACGUCUAGAUUACAUUAUGGGUAUAACCCAUGAAUACUGCUCGGUCAUUCCACACAUUAACUAAUUCAAACCUUUUGACCGCAGGAGAUACAGGAGUUAAGAGAGUAUAAUGAAAGUUUGCUUUGAGGUGGAUUAAAAGAAGACGAAGAGCAAGGAAAGAGCACAAGCCUUCAUGCUAGGGAGAACUCUCUGGUAAUGUAGCUUAAUGCGAUGUUUACUUGGAUCGCGGUUUGAUAAUAAAUAACGGGCACUUCAUGUUUUCUCUUUUCUAAAA